CAGAGUUUGAUCCUGCUCAGGAUAAACGCUGGCGGCGCACAUAAGACAUGCAAGUCGAACGAACGUUAACCAUUAGUUUACUAUUGGAGCGGUUAGUGGCGGACUGGUGAGUAACACGUAAGCAACCUGCCUAUCAGAGGGGAACAACAGUUAGAAAUGACUGCUAAUACCGCAUAUGCCUUAGAAUCACGAUGGUUCGAAAGGGAAAGGAGCAAUCCGCUGAUAGAUGGGCUUGCGUCUGA
RNAcentral lists this ribosomal RNA (242 nucleotides) under uncultured bacterium. RNAcentral's name for it is "partial 16S ribosomal RNA". It matches the Rfam family "Bacterial small subunit ribosomal RNA", at positions 8 to 240 of the family's 1533-position model. The record is from RNAcentral.